CCUGCGCGCCUUGCUUCAGGUGCCCCGCGUUGCUGUAACUGGCGACUUAGGGGUGAAACAGGGAAGCCGGUUCGCAUGCCGGCGCUGCCCCCGCAACGGUAGGUGAGUCAAAUGCCGCUUCAGGCCACUGUGCAGUGCACGGGAAGGCGCGGCGGGGCGUGAUUGGCGCCGCUCAUGAGCCCGGAGACCGGCCUGUCGCAGUUUCACGGCA
This 211-nucleotide non-coding RNA is filed under the name Pseudomonas sp. 8Z. The record is from RNAcentral. Lineage: Bacteria; Pseudomonadati; Pseudomonadota; Gammaproteobacteria; Pseudomonadales; Pseudomonadaceae.